RNAcentral lists this ribosomal RNA (433 nucleotides) under uncultured bacterium. RNAcentral's name for it is "partial 16S ribosomal RNA". It matches the Rfam family "Bacterial small subunit ribosomal RNA", at positions 29 to 507 of the family's 1533-position model. The record is from RNAcentral.
AACGAACGCUGGCGGCAUGCCUAACACAUGCAAGUCGAACGAGACCUUCGGGUCUAGUGGCGCACGGGUGCGUAACGCGUGGGAACCUGCCCUUAGGUUCGGAAUAACUCCCCGAAAGGGGUGCUAAUACCGGAUAAUGUCUUCGGACCAAAGAUUUAUCGCCUUUGGAUGGGCCCGCGUUGGAUUAGCUAGUUGGUAGGGUAAAAGCCUACCAAGGCGACGAUCCAUAGCUGGUCUGAGAGGAUGAUCAGCCACACUGGGACUGAGACACGGCCCAGACUCCGACGGGAGGCAGCAGUGGGGAAUAUUGGACGAUGGGCGAAAGCCUGAUCCAGCAAUGCCGCGUGAGUGAUGAAGGCCUUAGGGUUGUAAAGCUCUUUUACCCGGGAUGAUAAUGACAGUACCGGGAGAAUAAGCGCCGGCUAACUCCGUG